Molecule: ribosomal RNA, 429 nt
Filed under: Fusobacteriota bacterium
Lineage: Bacteria; Fusobacteriati; Fusobacteriota
Description: Fusobacteria bacterium partial 16S ribosomal RNA
Rfam family: Bacterial small subunit ribosomal RNA
Source: RNAcentral
UGGGGAAUAUUGCGCAAUGGGCGAAAGCCUGACGCAGCGACGCCGCAUGAGGGAUGAAGGUUUUCGGAUCGUAAACCUCUGUCAGAAGGGAAGAAACCGCACUGUGCUAAUCAGCAGUGCCUUGACGGUACCUUCAAAGGAAGCACCGGCUAACUCCGUGCCAGCAGCCGCGGUAAUACGGAGGGUGCAAGCGUUAAUCGGAAUUACUGGGCGUAAAGCGCACGUAGGCUGCUUUGUAAGUCAGGGGUGAAAUCCCACGGCUCAACCGUGGAACUGCCUUUGAUACUGCUUAGCUUGAAUCCGGGAGAGGGUGGCGGAAUUCCAGGUGUAGGAGUGAAAUCCGUAGAUAUCUGGAGGAACAUCAGUGGCGAAGGCGGCCACCUGGACCGGUAUUGACGCUGAGGUGCGAAAGCGUGGGGAGCAAACAGG